GACGCACGCUGGCGGCGUGCUUAACACAUGCAAGUCGAGCGGCGCGGCGAACGGGUGAGUAACGCGUGAGUAACUGCCCCCCUCUCUGGGAUAACAGUUGGACACGGCUGCUAAUCCCGGAUAGUGGGGGAUGACUCGCGUCCUAUCAGCUUGUUGGUGGGGUAGUGGCCUAGCACGGCGACGACGGGUAGCCGGCCUGAGAGGGCGACCGGCCACAUUGGGAUGAGGUACGGCGCAAACUCAUACGGGAGGCAGCAGGGGGGAAUAUUGCGCAAUGGUGGAAACCGGGAGGCAGAACCGCCGCGUGCGGGAUGACGGUCUUCGGGUUGUAAACCGCUUUCAGCCAUGACGCGUUAGUGGCAGAAGAAGCACCGGCUAACUACGUGCCAGCAGCCGCGGUAAUAC
This 405-nucleotide ribosomal RNA is filed under the name uncultured bacterium. RNAcentral's name for it is "partial 16S ribosomal RNA". It matches the Rfam family "Bacterial small subunit ribosomal RNA", at positions 28 to 526 of the family's 1533-position model. The record is from RNAcentral.